UCGACGGCAGCACGGGAGCAAUCCUGGUGGCGAGUGGCGAACGGGUGAGUAAUGUAUCGGAACGUACCUUUCAGUGGGGGAUAACGUAGCGAAAGUUACGCUAAUACCGCAUAUUCUGUGAGCAGGAAAGCAGGGGAUCGCAAGACCUUGCGCUGAUUGAGCGGCCGAUAUCAGAUUAGCUAGUUGGUGAGGUAAAGGCUCACCAAGGCGACGAUCUGUAGCGGGUCUGAGAGGAUGAUCCGCCACACUGGAACUGAGACACGGUCCAGACUCCUACGGGAGGCAGCAGUGGGGAAUUUUGGACAAUGGGCGCAAGCCUGAUCCAGCCAUGCCGCGUGAGUGAAGAAGGCCUUCGGGUUGUAAAGCUCUUUCAGCCGGAAAGAAAACGCGUGGCUUAAUACCCUGUGUGGAUGACGGUACCGGAAUAAGAAGCACCGGCUAACUACGUGCCAGCAGCCGCGGUAAUACGUAGGGUGCGAGCGUUAAUCGGAAUUACUGGGCGUAAAGCGUGCGCAGGCGGUUCGUUAAGAUAGAUGUGAAAUCCCCGGGCUCAACCUGGGAACUGCGUUUGUGACUGGCAGGCUAGAGUGUGGCAGAGGGGGGUGGAAUUCCACGUGUAGCAGUGAAAUGCG
This 632-nucleotide ribosomal RNA is filed under the name uncultured bacterium. RNAcentral's name for it is "bacterial SSU rRNA". It matches the Rfam family "Bacterial small subunit ribosomal RNA", at positions 62 to 690 of the family's 1533-position model. The record is from RNAcentral.